Molecule: ribosomal RNA, 439 nt
Filed under: uncultured bacterium
Lineage: Bacteria
Description: partial 16S ribosomal RNA
Rfam family: Bacterial small subunit ribosomal RNA
Source: RNAcentral
CUACGGGAGGCAGCAGUGGGGAAUAUUGCACAAUGGACGAAAGUCUGAUGCAGCAACGCCGCGUGGAGGAUGACACAUUUCGGUGCGUAAACUCCUUUUAUAUAGGAAGAUAAUGACGGUACUAUAUGAAUAAGCGCCGGCUAACUCCGUGCCAGCAGCCGCGGUAAUACGGAGGGCGCAAGCGUUACUCGGAAUCACUGGGCGUAAAGAGCGUGUAGGCGGAUAGAUAAGUCAGGAGUGAAAUCCUAUGGCUCAACCAUAGAACUGCUCUUGAAACUGUCUAUCUAGAAUAUGGGAGAGGUAGAUGGAAUUUCUGGUGUAGGGGUAAAAUCCGUAGAGAUCAGAAGGAAUACCGAUUGCGAAGGCGAUCUACUGGAACAUUAUUGACGCUGAGACGCGAAAGCGUGGGGAGCAAACAGGAUUAGAUACCCCCGUAGUC